GAUGAACGCUGGCGGCGUGCCUAAUACAUGCAAGUCGAGCGAACAGACGAGGAGCUUGCUCCUCUGACGUUAGCGGCGGACGGGUGAGUAACACGUGGAUAACCUACCUAUAAGACUGGGAUAACUUCGGGAAACCGGAGCUAAUACCGGAUAAUAUAUUGAACCGCAUGGUUCAAUAGUGAAAGACGGUUUUGCUGUCACUUCUAGAUGGAUCUGCGCCGCAUUAGCUAGUUGGUAAGGUAACGGCUUAUCAAGGCGACGAUGCGUAGCCGACCUGAGAGAGUGGUCGGCCACACUGGAGCUGAAACACGGUCCAGACUCCUACGGGAGGCAGCAGUAUGGAAUCUUCCGCAAUAGGCGAAAGCCUGACGGAGCAACGCCGCGUGAGUGAUGAAGGUCUUCGGAUCGUAAAACUCUGUUAUUAGGGAAGAACAAAUGUGUAAGUAACUAUGCACGUCUUGACGGUACCUAAUCAGAAAGCCACGGCUAACUACGUG
This 497-nucleotide ribosomal RNA is filed under the name uncultured bacterium. RNAcentral describes it as "partial 16S ribosomal RNA". It matches the Rfam family "Bacterial small subunit ribosomal RNA", at positions 28 to 507 of the family's 1533-position model. The record is from RNAcentral.